This is a long non-coding RNA of Myotis daubentonii (Daubenton's bat), 2735 nucleotides long. RefSeq lists it as uncharacterized. The transcript has 2 exons. NCBI's taxonomy places the organism in Eukaryota, Metazoa, Chordata, Mammalia, Chiroptera, Vespertilionidae. The record is from RefSeq and is a predicted model, not a curated record.
GAAUGUUGGUUGGGGACUCGGAGGUUGUGCCUGGGGCGUGGGGAGUGGGCCGGGAUCUGUGACCAGCGACACCAGAGGUGGGAGCGCCAGGCCCGUAGGCUAAGGCCCGAGAAAUCAUUUGUGAUGCCCUCGCCCUUCCUUUCCCACGGCCCCCGAGGCCAGCUGGUAAAGAUGACACAUGGCGAGGGAGCUGCCAGAACAUUCCCACUGGGCAUUUUGUGAGGGAGAAACAUGGCAGUCAGCCAGCAAGAACCUGGGACUUACUGGUUCCUGUGGCACCUAUUGUAUUCUGAUAUGGAAAUUGGUAUCUGAGUGAGUUUCUGCUGUAACCAAAACAAAACCAGCCAAUGUGUAUUGGCCGGGCGGGCAGGAAGAACGUGGACGGAACCCUGGACAGCAGGACAGGCUGGAGGAGACCACCGUGCUCCCCUGGGCAGGCUCUGCCUGCUGAGCCGUCCGCCCGGGCAGGGCAGCUGCAGGAGGCAGGUGCGGGGGCCACUUGAAAGCUACCACAGCAAAGGGAUGUGCUCAGCAAAAUGGCCAGUUUGCAAGCAAAAGUGACAAGAAAUUAAGAGAAUCCAAAACUGUUAUCAAAAGAUUGGAAAAGGAAACUUCUAGAACUCACACAGGAAGGGCUAAGACGGAAGCAUGCUCUGACUAUAAAGGCCUAGUGAGGCUUCUGACCGGUAGGUCACUCGGCCCUGGGCAAGUCCCAGGCUGGGCAGGGCGUGGGCGCCUGGCUCCAAUGGCCCCGCACCGACACGGGGGGCAGCAGCAGGAAGAAAGCAGGCUGUCCAGGGAAGACUGUUGUGAGUGCUCGUUACCGGCUGCUGUUAACAAACUACCCCAAACUCUGCUGCUUACCCAGCAUUCAUUCUCUCAUGGCCCUACAGGUGACUGACUGACGGGGCCCAAGGACAGCUCCCGUGGGAGGGGAUGCGAUCGGUGUGUGGGAAACAGCGAAAUAAGUACUUGGUGACACCAGAGGGCCAUGUGACUGGCCACACGCUAACCAAACCCACUUCCGAUCCCCCUGGGCACAAGGAUCCUGCAUUUCCUCCUUCCUGGCACCGAAGCGAGACCAGUUCUGGUGUGGGGACGAGGAAGUCGUGUCCCCCACCCGCCGCUCUGGUGUGUGGGAGGGGCAGUGGCACAGAUGGAAGCUGCUGGAGUCCCCAGACACCCCUUGGAGAGCUGCCCACCAGGAGCCCCCGGGCCCCCCCACCUGCCUGAGUGGACCCCCAGCUGCCGCCGGCCCUGCAAACCCGCCCCAGGGCCCUGUCAAGUCCUGCUCCCUGAGGGUCCACGGCCAGGGUUUCAGCACGGAAAGGUGGGUGGCGGGCAGCCCCGAGCAGAGGCUGGGGCCCAGGCCCUCACAAGAGAAGCGCAGGCCUGCCCCGUGCCCCCCCCCUCCUGCCCCUGUGCUCCCCCUGCUGUGCUCCCUCCUAGGACGGGUUCUGGAAGGGGACAGGGCCCUGCACCAGCCACCAAGCCGGCGGCCAUGAGUCACCCUGAGGAUGUGCGGCUGGCUGGCGGCCUCUGAAGGGGCAGCUCUCUGGUGGCAAUGAAGCAAGCCCUUAGGUCCCCAGUGGGGUGCGCCCCCAAGACCCAGCGAGGAGGAAAGACGAGGCCAGCACCUCCACCUCCGUGCCUGCAGACCACAGCAGUGUCCUGAAGGCCGCCUCCAGUCCCUCUCCGGCCAUCGGGACAGUGGCCUUGUCAACCGCAGGCCAAACUGGGCUCCAGGCAGGGCCUGGCUCCACAGCCUGCCCACCCGCCCUGCGCCACGGGAUGGAUAAAGAACAGGGGAGGGCGAAGUACACAGCCAGAGACCGCAUCAUGGUACAAAUGAUAAAUUAUAUUUAUACAGGAAGUAUCAAUAGUGACACAAGUUCAAAACCAGCUACCGGCCCCUGGGGCUGAGGAAACGGGGUGACCCCACCCGGAGCCUCAGGAGGGAGCAAGGGCCUGUGUGCAGCUCGCGUGCAGCGGCUGGCAGUGGCAUGAUCAGUGCAGGCGUCCGGGCGGCCUGGGCCGUACUGCAGGGGCAUCAACGUGCUGGGGGCACUGGGAGGCGGCCAGGCCGCACCUGGGGGAGCACCUGCCCCAGUCCACCGCCUCCCCCUCCCAGGCCCGGCCUGAAGUCCAGGAGCCUCUGGGAGCAGCCCUGUGAGUGGGAAGCAGGAAACGCGAGGGGCCCAGAGGCAGUCAGCGCGGCCUGCGUGCCUCCUACAGCCAGGCAGGGCCCAGGCCCCGCCUCAGAGGGCCCGCCGGUGGCCUGCUGCCCUGGGGCCAGGGCUAGGGCACCCACGGUGGAAUGUGAGGAGAACGCCCCUUCCCUAGGAAAGGCUGAUCUUUUCUGGGCCUUAGUUUAUGACCUAAUACUUUUUAUAGUGGUGGCUGGGCGAGGGGCAGGAGGUAAUACACGGGCGUGUUUAUUAAAUAUCUAUCCUGGGUGAGGAUCACUGUUUUCUUCUCCAAAAUAAGAGAUGAUGGGUUUUAAGUCUGUGCUGUGUGUCUGGAGUUAGCAGAGUCAGGGCCAGCCCUGGUCCCUCGCCCGCCCGACUCAGCCACAAGCUCCAGGGAGCCACUGCCCCCAGCCAACGGCCAUCUCCCCCUCCCCCCUCCCCUGUCUUCACCUGAGCGAGUAUCAGACAGGAGAUCACAGACAAGUGGUCCCAGAUGUCUCUUCCAUCUCACAUUCCCAUCGGGAGCGGAAGCCCCGCCAACAUGCA